Harpia harpyja (harpy eagle) is the source of this 3601-nucleotide long non-coding RNA. RefSeq lists it as uncharacterized. NCBI's taxonomy places the organism in Eukaryota, Metazoa, Chordata, Aves, Accipitriformes, Accipitridae. The transcript has 6 exons. The record is from RefSeq and is a predicted model, not a curated record.
GAGGCCCUGAGGCGGCUGUUGCCGGGGGUGCUGUGGCGGCCCCGCGCCUGCCUUCUCGCCGCGCCACGCCUUUCCAGCGGAGGCGGCUCUUGUCUCCCUCCUCCCCCUCGCAGGGGCGAGGGACCGGAGGAGGAGGAGGAGGAGGAGGGAGACGGAGACGGAGACCGGUAUGGCCGUGGCCGAGGCGAAGGCGUCGGGCUCGCGGCGCUGUCCCGGCGGUGUCCCUGCACAGCCCCCCCCGUUCGCUCUUCGCCGCCUUCCUCGCCCCGCGAAGCCAGUGCCGGCCAGGUGGCAAGGCCGACUGCAAGGACAGGCAGGCGGUGUCUGCAGCUACGGCCCGUGGGCUUCUCAAGAGGGCCUUAGAAAAAAGUGUUUAUGUUGUUCAGGAAAAAUACGGCCAUAGAUUUAACAUACAGUUGAGCGUGCUGCUCCGAGGCGGCUGUUUCUAUGAAAAAAACCCUGCCGCCUCCUUCUUGUUUGACCCGUGUCCAAAUGGCAGUUUAAAGAGAUCAUUUGCGUGGCGCUGUGCUACUGACACAGUCUUUGACCUUUGACGCAAUUUGGCAAAUCAGAUUAAUUACAAAAGCCUUUGAAACACACCUUCCCAUUGACCUCCUGCUGUCCACUAGAGACAAGAGUACUUGAAAACAGAAACCUGAAAAGUGCGAGCCGAUGUAGUUUCCAUAGGAGAUUAAAGAGCUCACUGUCAAGUUUAUCCCAGAUAUUUGUGAGUAGGGGACAGCUAAGCAGUCCUAGUGCCCACAGCACAAUGUGCCUUGACUGCAAAAUCCAUCGGCUUCUGGCCAGAAAAGCACCAAGAAAACCCCUCAGAGCUCUCACUGGACGGGUCUACUUGUAGGAGAAGGGGUUAGGUUGUUCCCUGGUUCCUGUUUGUCCUCAGUGAGACAAAGGAAAAACAAUGCUCCGUGGAAACCAGCUCCCCUGGCAUGAGGUAAAGAGCGGCAGUUCUCCUGAGCAGGAGUGAUCCAUACAGAAUUGUAUCCAAACUAGCCCAGUGAUUUAUUGAGAAUGAAAACAGCACGUUACCCUGUAAACCAGGUAUUGCUGUUUACCGAGAAGUACCAGCAGGGGCUUCCCAGAAGUAUCAGGAACCUCUAUGCUAUUAGGCACAAGUGCUGAGAGGCAAUUUCUGCCCUUGAUAGUUUGCAGUGAAGGCCAGCACGGAAAUUAUAAAUGUUUCAUGCUGAGCCUUUAUGUGCAGUGGAACUGCUCUUAUAUUUACAGGGUUUUGGAAAGUAAGUGCAAGGCAGCUGAAGAGGCCACAGCAGGAAUUCGAGGUGGCAGGAGAAAAAAGGCAGCAGGCGUAAGACGAGCUUUGUGAGAAGGCAGCAGGCUUGAAGACGAGGCCAGGGCACAACAGCAAGGAUCCACAGGGGAAUAGGUGGGGGAGCAGGGCAGGGGGGAUAGGCCAUGGUGCAGCACUUGGUACUUUGAGGGGCCUCUGACCGCACUCGGAAGACAGGUGGCAAAAAAAUUCACAAACAGGAAGGGCAAGUACUUGUACUAUGAAACAUUUGUUUUUGACUGCAAACAGUUAAUUUGGACUUUCCCCUUGCAUUUUUUUUCCCUAAAGGAUGAGUUAAAUUUUCUAGAUUCCAGCUCCCCUAACAAGGAAUUUCGGCUCCUGCAAGAUUAUUUUUCUUGCUCUUUUCUGUCUCACUGCCUCUGGUUUUGCUUCUCCAUCAUGUUCCUGACCUUUCCCUCUCCUGCCACCCAUUCUGCUUUAUUUUGUUCUCCUUUUCCUUCACAAUUUGCAUAUUUUUUUUUCUCAUUAUUUCUCUCCUGCUACUUAUUUUCCCUUUUUUACUCAUUGUUCUUUCCUGCAUGCUUCUACCUUUGGAUUCUAAAACCUUAAUUGACUGCCUCAUGUGACUGGAAAACAAACCAAACUACCCGGGGCAGGGAGAGAUGGGCUGCCAGUGUGCUAGCAUGCUGUCCUGCCCGGCGUUGUAACUGGACACGCAGCAGCUGUGAUUCUUCGGUGGGUGGAAAAGAAAUGUCCAUUGUAAUCUCCAUGUAUUAGAUCUCAGAUCAAGCUAGAAACACAGAGCAAACUUGUUCUGAACACCCUGCUUUUCUCACCAGCACGACGUGCUCUGCAAUGCCUGACAUUACAAGUGGAAAAACUUACUUUUUCACCAUGCUUUCUAUCCUCAUAAGUGAAGAUUUGUUCCCUAUGGUACACUACUAGCUAAUUAUCUCUCUGUACUCUCUAAGUUUGCUAGCAGAUCAGAAGAGACCAGAAAAGAUCCCAUGGGUGUGGUGAAGGGAAGUAGCCAUCCACUUAACACUGACCUUCAAAUAAUUGGCAACAGCUAUCAUUUUUCAUGGCACUUUUCAAAGGCAGCCCUUCAAAAUCAGGUCUGGGCUGAAACUGCAGAGCCGGAGCAGAGGAUCCUUUCUGCAUGCUGCAGUGUCCCUAAGCAGACACUGGGCAGCUGAGAAGGAGACCCUCCUGUUCCCCAAGACAUCUCAGCAGGGGCUGAUAACCAGUACUCCAAGCACACAGGAGACAUGGACCCUGGGUCUUCAUUUCAGGGGAGCCAAGACCAGAAGACCAGCUGUUAGGGUCACCAUUAAUACCCUAUUCAAGAGAAAUUGGAUGCCUUUUUCGAAGAGACAUUUUAUUUGGGUGGAAAUUAAUCGACUCACUACAGGGGGCAAAUAGGUCAAACCUGUGGCCUGUAUCAUGCAGGCUUUUUGAGUCCACGUUGAACCACCCAUGGAUAGCUGAAGAGGGAGCCUGUUUCCUAGUCCAACAGUGGCUUCAGUUGAACUGCAGCUCAGUAAUGAAGGAGGAAAAACAGCACUCUCAGCACUCGCCAUGCUAUUAGCCCUUAUGCCUCCUAGGUUGAAAAAGGUUUCCUUUUCUGGACUGCAGGCCCAAAGCCAUCCUCACAGGUGUGAGGAGGCUGGAAUACUGUGCCAACCCCUGGAGGUGUAUGUUUGACCCAGAAGCACAGAUCCCUGUAUCGCACCCGGUACUAGUAAGUAUCGGUCUAAGGACAGGUGAGUGCAAGAUGCUGUGUCACCUGGAAAGAAGCUAUUUGAAGGUCAGCUGCUGCACGGUGACCUCUGCGUGCAGGCUUUCUGGUCUAUUGGAGGCACAUGUAGGGUUCGUAUCCCAACACAGCUGGCUCACGAAGGCAAGAGAAAGCUGAGGUAAGCCCCAAAAAGUUGUUUGGAUGGCACAUCUUGUGCUGCCCGCUUUAUGGAAGAAAGGUGGAGAACAAAACUCCACAGCGAGUAAAGUAACAGGACAGAAACAACACUGCAGCGCUCCUGCAGUGUUGUGGUGUGCUUCUGUACCAAGGAGCAGUUUAUAAAGAAGUGCUUGAUGAUACUCUAGUAGAAACAGGAAUUUUUCAAUGCCUUAGGUGGGAAAGGGACGAAGACCAUAAUAGUAAGUUAAGUAUCUCAGAGUAAUUACCAUGUAAGAACUGCCUUUAGUGCUGUAACACUUGUCUGCCUUGCUUGGGUAUUCUGAAGGAAAAGGAAAUGGCUGAGACACUGCUUUUCUGCAGUGCCUCCCUAGUACAGCAAAGCAAGCUUUCUCAGUAACCUGUUAAUGCAGGACGAA